CCUACGGGAGGCAGCAGUAGGGAAUCUUCGACAAUGGGCGAAAGCCUGAUGGAGCAAAGCCGCGUGGGUGAAGAAGGUCCUAGGAUUGUAAAACCUCGUUGUUAGAGAAGAAAGGGCGUGAGCGUAACUGUUCAUGUUUCGACGGUAUCAAACCAGAAAGGCACGGCUAAUUACGUCACAGCAGCCGCGGUAAUACGUAGGUGGCAAGCGUUAUUCGGAUUUGUUGGGCGUAAAGGGAACGGAGGCGGUCUUUUAAGUCUGAUGUGAAAGGCUUCGGCUUAACCGGAGUAGUGCAUUGGAAACUGGGAGACUUGAGUGCAGAAGAGGUGAGUGGAACUCGAUGUGUAGCGGUGAAAUGCGUAGAUAUAUGGAAGAACUCCGGUGGCGAAAGCAGCUCUCUGGUCUGUCACUGACGCUGAGGUUCGAAAGCGUGGGUAUCAAACAGGAUUAGAUACCCGGGUAGUC
Molecule: ribosomal RNA, 465 nt
Filed under: uncultured bacterium
Lineage: Bacteria
Description: partial 16S ribosomal RNA
Rfam family: Bacterial small subunit ribosomal RNA
Source: RNAcentral